RNAcentral lists this unclassified non-coding RNA (337 nucleotides) under soil metagenome. RNAcentral describes it as "partial contains 5.8S ribosomal RNA, internal transcribed spacer 2, and large subunit ribosomal RNA". The stretch from base 1 to 120 matches the Rfam family "5.8S ribosomal RNA", at positions 35 to 154 of the family's 154-position model. The record is from RNAcentral.
GAUGAAGAACGUAGCGAAAUGCGAUAAGUAGUGUGAAUUGCAGAAUUCAGUGAAUCAUCGAAUCUUUGAACGCACAUUGCGCCCUUCGGUAUUCCGUUGGGCAUGCCUGUUCGAGCGUCAUUUAAACCUUCAAGCUCUGCUUGGUGUUGGGCGUUUGUUCCGCCUCCGCGCGUGGACUCGCCUCAAAUUCAUUGGCAGCCGGUCAGUUGGCUUUUCGUGCGCAGCACAUUGCGUAGCGGCUCCAGCUUGCCUCCUACCAUUAAGCUACUCUACAUCUUUUGACCUCGGAUCAGGUAGGGAUACCCGCUGAACUUAAGCAUAUCAAUAAGCCGGAGGA